UCAUACUGGUGAAGGGCACCCGCUUGCUGUCGUCAGGCAUGGAGGCGUUCAGAUCCCGGUCGUUGGACACGUCCAGCACGCCC
RNAcentral lists this transfer RNA (83 nucleotides) under uncultured Blautia sp. RNAcentral describes it as "tRNA-Asp(gtc)". The record is from RNAcentral. Lineage: Bacteria; Bacillati; Bacillota; Clostridia; Lachnospirales; Lachnospiraceae.